RNAcentral lists this ribosomal RNA (282 nucleotides) under uncultured bacterium. RNAcentral's name for it is "partial 16S ribosomal RNA". It matches the Rfam family "Bacterial small subunit ribosomal RNA", at positions 28 to 309 of the family's 1533-position model. The record is from RNAcentral.
GACGAACGCUGGCGGCGUGCUUAACACAUGCAAGUCGAGCGGGUAAGGCCCUUUCGGGGGUACGACGAGCGGCGAACGGGUGAGUAACACGUGGGUGACCUGCCCUUAGCUCUGGGAUAAGCCUGGGAAACUGGGUCUAAUACCGGAUAUGACUCCAUAACGCAUGUUGGUGGGGUGGAAAGCCUUGUGCGGCUAGGGAUGGGCCCGCGGCCUACCAGCUUGUUGGUGGGGUGAUGGCCACCAAGGCGACGACGGGUAGCCGGCCUGAGAGGGCGACCGGCC